Molecule: long non-coding RNA, 2469 nt
Filed under: Mus musculus (house mouse)
Lineage: Eukaryota; Metazoa; Chordata; Mammalia; Rodentia; Muridae
Description: long non-coding RNA chr4:86061766-86064235
Source: RNAcentral
AGCAUGAUCAUUAUGUGUGAUCAGUGAUCACAAAUGUGAACAUGUGGGGAGUGAGCAUCUGUCCCAUUGUCCCUGGAGCUCCGUGAUGCAGGUUAUCCAUCUUGCCUGUAUCCUACUAGCAGGCCAAUAUGCAAAAAUCUAUGCAAGACCAAACACAUGCCAUUGGAAAUUAUAUCUCUGUAUGUACUAUAGUGCCUUGUACCUCCCGUAGUCAUUAGAGUCUCACCUAAUGCUUUCUUAAAAUAAUUUAGUUACAAUGAGGGCUAAGUGGGCUUGUGUAUCAAAGGCUGAAAGAAAUAUCUGAAAGAAAAUGAACCGACAACAGAUCUUUUGUGUGAGGCAUAAGCCAUUUCUAAUAUGGAUUUAUUUCAGUUCUGAAGCAAGAAAUUGCGGGACUCUAAUAGUUUUGCCACCUGUGAAUUAUUUGGGUGCACCUCCUAAGUGGGUUCUCUCUUCUAUUUGUUUAAAGAAGUGAGUGACAUGCUCGCCAAUUCUACACUACAUUAAUUUUCACAGACUUUCCAUCUUCAUCUUCAUUGCCUUUUCAGAUUUUUUUCCAAAGCUUCUGCCAUCCUCCUCCUAGAGUAUUUUUUCCUUCAUUUUCCCCCCUAGGGGCUUUCUUUACAUUAGUUUGGUUUACUGGUAUAAACGUUAGAACAAAGGAGUGUGAUAACCCAAGACAUCCUGACCUAACUUCCAAGAGCAUAAAAGAAAUGAGACAGGAAAUUGUCAACAACCUAUAAUAAUUUCAAACUGUCCAAUAAAAUAAAUAUACCUCACUCCAAUCUUAUAGAGAGGUAUGGUCGGGUAUCUGAUUUCCCAACCCAUUUUGUAGGCUAUAAUCUCAGCCACCACUUGAAGUCUUUACAUGUAUUGUUUAAAUAUUGAACUUUGUCAGCAGAACCAGAAAUGAAAAGGGGUAAUGGAAACCAUCAGAGUGCCCAUUGUUCCUGGGCUGGAGUGAGAUUUGGAAAAAGAUCUUGGAAGAAAUUUCCUGCUCUUUCAUAAGAGUUGUUCUAGCCAUUGGUCAUUGAGCCCUUGCUCUGGGGCUUGUAGCUUGCCUGAAAUGACAAGCUUGCUUUGAAUUUACUGUUACAGAAGGAUCUUGAUAGCAUGUAGACUGCCAGAUCUUGCACCCUGUACAGAAUGUAGCCUCUAAUGAUGGGGACCCCUUUGGAGGUAAGAAUUUGGUGUCAUCAUAUCCAACACACACACACACAAACACACACACAAUCUGCCUCCUUGAUGGCAGGCAGAAUUUUAUUUAAAUAGGUACUUAUUGUAAGCUUGCUCUGUGAAUAAGUGAAGCAAUUGUCCAUCAUUGCACUUUUGUUUGACAAAUAACUGAAUUUAAAAUGCAAAGUGUUGACUGGGAAAUUUGAGUCCCAUCUAUCAGCAAUACCUCUUAAGUAGGGUCAACCAUACAAUCCAGAUUCCCUUCCUUUAGGUCACUGUUUUCAUUGAAUUCUUUCUAGAAGCCUGGAGCUCUUCUUAAUUGAGAGGUGGGAGGGGGUUGAAGUACUGUGACCUUGUAGCCACUGAAGCUGAAACUCAAGGUUCAUUGUAGGUUUACAAACGUCCAGGUGACAGGCUGUGUGACAGCAGUCAAGUGUCAUUUCUCUUGCUUUCAAAUCAACAAAUGUGAGUAAUUUGCUGACCUGUAUAUAAAACUAACUUCCUAAGGGUCUUGUAUAUAGUAGGUCUCUAAGAAUUGGCUGCCUUCCUUGAAUCAAUGUGAAAUUGUAUAAUUCCAGGGUCAGCUGUGUCUCAGUACUAUGUUUGGUGCUGGAUAGGUUAUGCUAAACAAAGUAGACACGGUGUAAAAAGUGGGCCUUUCUACAUGUAAUAUCAGAAAGGAUUUGGGAUAGGGGUGGGCGAGACAGGAAUUAACUGGCCAGUGCUUUCCAUUGGUUUUAUGUUGCUGUCAUGAUAUUAUUUUCUUUAAACUGUAUAUUUAACUAUUGCUGAUGUAAGGGUGUCUCUGCCUAAAGAAAUAGACAUAUUAAUUCAUUAUUUAUAGUGAUUCAAGAAGGAAUGUGCUAGAAAAACUCUAAGUCUCUAAAGAUUUAUAUUUAAGGUCAUUUUUUGAGUUUCGCCUUUUUUCCCACUGAAGUUCUUCUUUUUUUUAAAUAGCAAUAUUGAAACCUAAGAUUAACGAGUGUAUUAUGCUGUCUCUGUGUUUAUUUGAUACAUAAACACCUGUCUUUUCCAUCUUAGGGCUAUGCUAAAGAAAUGAAACCUUUAACCCAGCCCCUCAUUCAAGCAAGCAGAAGGCUGGUCAGGAGAGUAUGGGAUGCUACUAGCUGUGGUCUUCCCUCAAGAAGUUUACUAACUGGUGCUGGAUGAGGCUAAGACAACCUACAGGCUGCAGGAUCUUUUCUUCAGUGCUGGGGAUUGACCCCAGGACUCUGUCCAUUCAAAACAGGCACUUAACCACUGAGCUGAACCCCCAGCCAGAUGACAGACUCU